UCUCAGCCAUGGUUGCAUACCUUCCAAGCUCCACCGCCUCUUCUUCCUCGUGGGCAGAUCCCUGAUUUUGUGUAGGACAGCACUUGAAAUGUAUUUGUGUGCUCAACAUUGGUUUCCUCUCUGGAACCUGGGAUCACUUCAGGGGUGGACACGUGGCCCAACCAUGACUGAUGAGACAUGCGGGGAAAUCUGCAGAGGCAACUUCUAGGAAAGGUUGGGCUCUUGCAGCCACCCUGUGACUAUGAGGUGAGAAGCUUGUCCAGUGUGAUAGCUGAUCCACUGAAGAUGACAAGGAAAACAGCAGAAAGGAACCAGGCUACUUGAUCAUAGUGAGAGCUGAUAAGGCAGCCAAUCUGAAUUUCUUUCUACGUAAAACAAUUAACAUUAGUGUUUCAUUGCAUUUUCUAUUGCUUGCAGCCAAAAAUACUCUAACCACUGUCCUUGGGCAAAUUACUGACCUCUUUAAGCCUUGAUUUUCUCAUCUCUGAGAGAUGAACACAAGAGUUUGUAUUUCAUUGAAUGAGAUAAGGUAAUGAUAAGAAUAAGAAAUAUUUAUGCUGCACUUACUAUGUGCUCAACUCUGUUCAAAACAGUUUACUCAUUUAACAUACGUAUCAUGCUUAGCCUAGGAUCCUGAACCUUUUAUGUUCUCAAACUUACCCUUAUAAUCAUUGCUAUUGCAGGAACUAGGCUAUUAAUUCAGACCUUCUGUUCCUAGACAUUUUACCAACAGUGAAAGUAAACUUUCACUCCUCCCACCACCCCACAAGGAAAAUUACAGGAGCAUUUGAAAACAUUUUUGAAACUCAAAUGCUCUCACAAUUGAAUGACACAGGAAUCAAUACUUAGAAAACUCUGCCUUUUCAGUGUUCAGAGUAUAAUGCAUAUUUUUAAAAAUAGACUCAAUACAAGUUCUUGCAAAUCUAUUUGGAAGCGAAAAGAGCUCAUUAUAACAAUGGUUCUGGAUGGAUUACAAACUUCUCAGUUUAGAAAUGGGUUUUUGUUUUGUUAGUACACCAUGCUCUCUACUAUUAUUUACUGCAUAGUUUGAGUCACUCACUAGUCAAUUUCUCAACGCUUUGUCAAGGACUAUGAAGGGCUGAAGAUUUACUCUACUUGAGAACGAACCAGCAUUCUGACCACAAUGCCAGAAGACAAUACGGAAUUACUCAGUACAUGAAGCACCAGGAAGAUGACAACAGAAGAGAGAGGACCCAGACAUUGGAAUCAGCAGCCACCAGGUGCAAUCUCCAACAUGUGCGGGCUUUGGGAAAACACAAUCGGGCAAGUGAAGUUUGUUGCAGACAAGUUCUUCUUCCCCUCUGCCACAACCUCCUCCAAGGUUACAGGGAGAGCACCCUGUCUGUGAAGAAGCAGGUUCUCAUCUGAUACCAAAUCUGCUGGCACCUUGAUCUUGGACUUCCCAGACUCCAGGACUGAAGAUCACAGAUUGACAUCAGCAGGAAAACUUGCCAGGCAGCAGGAGGAUCCAUUUGAAAACUCACGAGAAAAAGGCCCUUGAGGCCUUUUUCCUGGUUAUUGAAGACAUCUUAGGAAACACUUAUGGUGACAAUUAAUCAAGCAAAAAUAGAUCCAGUUUUUCUGAAGAUCAAGCUUAACAUGUGUGCCAUGCUUUAAAAUGUCUUUCCAGGCACUCUCUCCUGCCCACGGAUCUUGCUUGGGAAAGGAAUGGGGCAAGUGGAAAUGGCCAUUUCUUAGAUGAACACAUCAGGGACUUGCUCCAGUCUGAAGUCUAUACAGAGCUAGGCUUUGAAUCCAGUCACGUAACUGCAUAGCAGCAAAUCAGCCUUUCAGAAUAUUGCAGGAUCAGCAAUGAAAUUCCCUUUGCCAGAGAAAUGGACAAACAAGGAAGCAACAAUGGUGAUGGUGGAAGUGUUCUUCAAGUCUAAGUUUGGGUUCUAGAAACAUCUGGCCAAAUAACGUCUUUCACAACUAAAAUAGAAUAUAAAGAAGCCAUUUGACCUGCCUCAGUUAUCAUGGUCAUCAUGACAAGCUGCAGCAGGACAAAUCAGCUUAACAAUUUCGGAAACUGCCAGAAAUGCUAUUUGGAUUAAUUUUUAUUUGGGAGUUGGCUAAAACUGGUCACAUCCCCAAAUACCUCAAGAUAAACAACAUAGCAUUAUCAUACAAAUCUAUAUUCACCAAAUUAGGUUAAAAUAGGCUGUUUUGAGAAGGUUGAAUUUUUUUAUGGGGAUUAUUCCCAAAAUACGUUUAGACACAAGAAGUUCAACUUUUCUUUUUUCCAUAUUUGAUGUCAAUCAAACUAAUUACUACAUGUUUGGAAUUGCAUUAAUUGUAUUCUUCAGUUACCUAUAAAAUUUAAUUAUCAUGUCUUUAUGGAAAUUUUAAUAUCAGAUAUAAAGAAUGGCAUAUUUAAAAUGACAUUUUAAUACUUUAUAAGAAGCAACAGAAAUUCGACUUCCAAAGCACCUCUCAGUACUACCAUUGGAGUACAUCUAUAUUUUUCUGUCAGAAUACUAUCCAAAGCAAGCAUAAGUAAUCCUUAUUUUCACGAUACAUUGAUGCUCAAAAGUUGUGUGUUCAGCAUGUCUACAAAGUAAAUUACCGUAUAUUUGAAACAGCAGACUAAAACUGAAGUAACAUCUGGAAAAAAUUGCCCUAAUUGCUAGCCCCUAAAUUCAUCUGACCUUGACACUCUCAUCUGAAUUUAAAAGUGUUUUAAAUUCUUAGCCAAUCAAUUCAAGCCAGAACUGAAUUCAUAUGUCUUCAGAAACUGCUAAUCUAGAACAAUGUAACUAGAAUAGAUUCCUGAUCAAACUUUGGUUUUGUUCAGGUAUCCACUCAUUUCCUAGGUGACCCAGAGGCCACAACUCACAACUCCACCCCUUCCCGUGGCUGGUCCAGGCUGUGCAGAUCUUGUAGUCACAAAGUCCUGGCAAUGGGCUGGGGGUGGGAUCUGACCUAGUGCUGACCAACAUGUCAAAAACAGAUGGCUGCAGAACCCUCUGGAAAAGCUUCCCUCAUUCUUAAGGAAUCCUGUGAAGAGAUGGUCUGUUUCUGUCCUGUUCCCUGGAUGUCAAAUGUCUGGGUUUGAGACCCAGAACUCCUGAAGCCAUCUCACAACUACAAGGGGAGCAGAUGUAGCCACUGAGGAUGGCCAAGCAGAGGGAGGGAGGACCUUUCCUGCCAGCAUCGCCAGCGGCUGAAUCACAGCCCAGAACCCCACAGCACCCUAAACGUCCUCUUAACAAAUGUAAUACGUUGUCUUACUGUUUGUGCCUGUGUGAAAAGUCCUCUUUGCUUGCAGUGAAGGCAUCCUAGUUGAUAAACAUGAAAUUUGAAAAUUGGAGAUUUCUUGGAACCAACA
Molecule: long non-coding RNA, 3349 nt
Filed under: Homo sapiens (human)
Lineage: Eukaryota; Metazoa; Chordata; Mammalia; Primates; Hominidae
Description: HSALNT0400109
Source: RNAcentral